This is a long non-coding RNA of Hippocampus comes (tiger tail seahorse), 975 nucleotides long. RefSeq lists it as uncharacterized. The transcript has 3 exons. The record is from RefSeq and is a predicted model, not a curated record. NCBI's taxonomy places the organism in Eukaryota, Metazoa, Chordata, Actinopteri, Syngnathiformes, Syngnathidae.
AUGGUUGCUUUUAAUUCAAUCGUGCAGAAAAGACGAACAAAUUGUGUCACUGACUGAGUGGAAACUAGCUGCGCAUUAUGUUGACUGAAUCCAAUGAGCAACACAAAGAAAGCAAGGACAGAGCGAUAAUUGCUCUCUCUGUUCCAACGAUGUACCUUGCAUCUUGCCCAAAGUCAGCUGGGUCAAAAACACACAGGACAUCUGGUGCGUUUCUUCCCGUCAGUCGUCAGUGAUGGACUGAGAAGGUCCAUCGUUGCUCACCCAGUUGGUGACGAUUCCGGUGACGGACGAAUACCCGCUUGCAUCAGCAACAUGAUAUUGGAGGCGCUGAGGGUGACUCCCAAACUUCAUAGCCAUGGGUCAAAAAUACCGGCGGGAGAGGUCUUCAUUAAUCCUCUAUAGGAGGCUCUACAGACCCAUUUUUUGUAGUGGUGUACGACAACUUUAAAAUCUCAAUAUUUUUUUUUUCGCCAGGCCAGAUGUGUGUGCAAAUCUUGGUGAGUUUUUGUUUAUGUUUAGGUUCCCAAAAAUGUAAAUUUUUGACUUGGAAUUAGACAGUCAUUAGGCAGCGUCAAUAGUUUCCCACCAAAGUAUGUACAGUACGCACAACCCUUUGUUUUCCCCUUUGUGCAGAAGGAAGGAGCGAGCCAUAACAGGGCGCCCUCUCUGUCCUCUGCAUGCUAGUCUGUCAGUAGGUCUAGUGCAGACUUGCCCUCCUUUUGAGCCAAUCACGCGGCCGCCGGCGCGCGGCAGCCCACCAAUGAGCAGGCAGGCCCGGCGGGGGCUCGAUGCGGAGUAGGCGUUGACUUCGUAUGAUGUAAUCGAGGCUUAAUUUACAGGAUGGUCGCGAGGAGUGAACCCAAAUCGCCCCGAGAAGCUUAAUCGCUAAAAAAGGUAGACUCUGCUGCAACACUUCCAUGGAAAUGACAUGCACAACUUUGCACAGUUGAUCUUCUGAACCUAACUUCGGGGAGA